RNAcentral lists this ribosomal RNA (494 nucleotides) under uncultured bacterium. Its description in RNAcentral is "partial 16S ribosomal RNA". It matches the Rfam family "Bacterial small subunit ribosomal RNA", at positions 28 to 507 of the family's 1533-position model. The record is from RNAcentral.
GACGAACGCUGGCGGCGUGCUUAACACAUGCAAGUCGAACGGAAAGGCCUGCUUUCCCUUGUGGAUUGCGGGUACUCGAGUGGCGAACGGGUGAGUAACACGUGAGUGAUCUGCCCCCAACUUGGGUAUAAGCCUGGGAAACUGGGUCUAAUUCCCGAUAGGACUGCAGGGUAGUGCCUGUGGUGGAAAACGAUUUUCUAGUGGUUGGGGAUGAGCUCGCGGCCUAUCAGCUUGUUGGUGGGGUAAUGGCCUACCAAGGCGGCGACGGGUAGCCGGCCUGGGAGGGUGGACGGCCACAUUGGGACUGGGAUACGGCCCAGACUCCUACGGGAGGCAGCAGUGGGGAAUAUUGCACAAUGGGCGGAAGCCUGAUGCAGCGACGCCGCGUGGGGGAUGACGGCCUUCGGGUUGUAAACUCCUUUCGACCGCGAGGAAGCCACCUGGUUGGAAGGGUGGUGACGGUAGUGGUAGAAGAAGCACCGGCUAACUACGUG